Molecule: ribosomal RNA, 772 nt
Filed under: Pseudomonas sp. G(2010)
Lineage: Bacteria; Pseudomonadati; Pseudomonadota; Gammaproteobacteria; Pseudomonadales; Pseudomonadaceae
Description: bacterial SSU rRNA
Rfam family: Bacterial small subunit ribosomal RNA
Source: RNAcentral
AUGAAGCUGGCGGCAGGCCUGUACAUGCAGUCGAGCGGAUGAAGGGAGCUUGCUCCUGGAUUCAGCGGCGGACGGGUGAGUAAUGCCUAGGAAUCUGCCUGGUAGUGGGGGAUAACGUCCGGAAACGGGCGCUAAUACCGCAUACGUCCUGAGGGAGAAAGUGGGGGAUCUUCGGACCUCACGCUAUCAGAUGAGCCUAGGUCGGAUUAGCUAGUUGGUGGGGUAAAGGCCUACCAAGGCGACGAUCCGUAACUGGUCUGAGAGGAUGAUCAGUCACACUGGAACUGAGACACGGUCCAGACUCCUACGGGAGGCAGCAGUGGGGAAUAUUGGACAAUGGGCGAAAGCCUGAUCCAGCCAUGCCGCGUGUGUGAAGAAGGUCUUCGGAUUGUAAAGCACUUUAAGUUGGGAGGAAGGGCAGUAAGUUAAUACCUUGCUGUUUUGACGUUACCAACAGAAUAAGCACCGGCUAACUUCGUGCCAGCAGCCGCGGUAAUACGAAGGGUGCAAGCGUUAAUCGGAAUUACUGGGCGUAAAGCGCGCGUAGUGGUUCAGCAAGUUGGAUGUGAAAUCCCCGGGCUCAACCUGGGAACUGCAUCCAAAACUACUGAGCUAGAGUACGGUAGAGGGUGGUGGAAUUUCCUGUGUAGCGGUGAAAUGCGUAGAUAUAGAAGGAACACCAGUGGCGAAGCGACCACCUGGACUGAUACUGACACUGAAGUGCGAAAGCGUGGGGAGCAACAGGAUUAGAUACCCUGGUAGUCCCCGCCGU